Molecule: ribosomal RNA, 957 nt
Filed under: Salmonella enterica
Lineage: Bacteria; Pseudomonadati; Pseudomonadota; Gammaproteobacteria; Enterobacterales; Enterobacteriaceae
Also listed under: 2 other names
Description: partial 23S ribosomal RNA
Rfam family: Bacterial large subunit ribosomal RNA
Source: RNAcentral
GUUGGGUAGGGGAGCGUUCUGUAAGCCUGUGAAGGUGUGUCGUGAGGCAUGCUGGAGGUAUCAGAAGUGCGAAUGCUGACAUAAGUAACGAUAAAGCGGGUGAAAAGCCCGCUCGCCGGAAGACCAAGGGUUCCUGUCCAACGUUAAUCGGGGCAGGGUGAGUCGACCCCUAAGGCGAGGCCGAAAGGCGUAGUCGAUGGGAAACGGGUUAAUAUUCCCGUACUUGGUGUUACUGCGAAGGGGGGACGGAGAAGGCUAUGUUGGCCGGGCGACGGUUGUCCCGGUUUAAGCGUGUAGGUGUGUGUUCCAGGUAAAUCCGGUUCACUUUAACACUGAGGCGUGAUGACGAGGCACUACGGUGCUGAAGCAACAAAUGCCCUGCUUCCAGGAAAAGCCUCUAAGCAUCAGGUAACAUCAAAUCGUACCCCAAACCGACACAGGUGGUCAGGUAGAGAAUACCAAGGCGCUUGAGAGAACUCGGGUGAAGGAACUAGGCAAAAUGGUGCCGUAACUUCGGGAGAAGGCACGCUGACACGUAGGUGAAGUGAUUUACUCAUGGAGCUGAAGUCAGUCGAAGAUACCAGCUGGCUGCAACUGUUUAUUAAAAACACAGCACUGUGCAAACACGAAAGUGGACGUAUACGGUGUGACGCCUGCCCGGUGCCGGAAGGUUAAUUGAUGGGGUCAGCGCAAGCGAAGCUCCUGAUCGAAGCCCCGGUAAACGGCGGCCGUAACUAUAACGGUCCUAAGGUAGCGAAAUUCCUUGUCGGGUAAGUUCCGACCUGCACGAAUGGCGUAAUGAUGGCCAGGCUGUCUCCACCCGAGACUCAGUGAAAUUGAACUCGCUGUGAAGAUGCAGUGUACCCGCGGCAAGACGGAAAGACCCCGUGAACCUUUACUAUAGCUUGACACUGAACAUUGAGCCUUGAUGUGUAGGAUAGGUGGGAGGCUUUGAAG